UACAGAGGUCUCAAGCGUUGUUCGGAUUCAUUGGGCGUAAAGGGUGCGUAGGCGGCGCGGUAAGUCGGGUGUGAAAUCUCCGGGCUUAACUCGGAACGGCCAAGUGAUACUGUCGCGCUAGAGUGCGGAAGGGGCAAUCAGAAUUCUUGGUGUAGCGGUGAAAUGCGUAGAUAUCAAGAGGAAUACCUGAGGUGAAGACGGGUUGCUAGGCCGACACUGACGCUGAGUGCGCGAAAGCCAGGGGAGCAAACGGG
Molecule: ribosomal RNA, 254 nt
Filed under: uncultured bacterium
Lineage: Bacteria
Description: partial 16S ribosomal RNA
Rfam family: Bacterial small subunit ribosomal RNA
Source: RNAcentral